CUCACAAGAGAUACAUAGCUCCCUAUUAGGUUCUCAAAAACUGAAAUGUAAAAUGCCCACUUGAAUGAUACUAGAAAUUACCGUACAAAAUAGCAUCGAAUGCAAACAUAUCAUGUUUUUCUAUAUGCCAUGAUUUCCAUAAUUAAAAGCAUACUAAAAGAGGACAUAUCUUGAGAUUCUUGUAUUUCUUUUCCUAAAAAACAUUCCUUCGAAGUGAAACUGAGCACAGAGGUGUGUUUUCUUUCAUUGUUCACUGGUUAUCAACAUCAGCUUUUGCUUCUGGGGAUUGUUCUUUCCCAGCAUAGGUCUGCAUUGGGGUUUUGCAAGAGAAGAUUUUACUUCACUCCUCUCUAGCUCUAUGUCUCUCAGCUUCUCAAAGCAAAUCUUCCUUUUUUUUUUUUUUUUAACCAGCAUACAACGAUCACCGGAAGCAGCCCUUGAUAGAUAGGGUAGCAAGUUCAGAACUGUCUGUCUAGUUUCACUUCUCCCCAUGUGAGAGUCAAUCAUGCUGUUUAGACUCAAUGCAGCAAGAGUUGUGGUUCCUCAGCAAACACUAACUCAUCCAUGUAGCUCCCGGACUCAGAGCCAGCCUAGCUCAGUCUAUUGGCUUAUCCACAGGCAAACGGUGGAGGUGAUUCUCAGACUGUAUAUUUCUCCAUUAGUGAGGGCUAUUGUGGCUCACUGUUUGAUUUAUCACCUAGGCAACAAAACACUCCCCUUACAGGAUACUUCCGCUCUGAUUAUGGGCCCUGUUCAUUAAUGAAGAAAUUGAAGCUAAAUCCACAGUUAAAUACCAAGUCAUCCAAAGGUGAUGCCCAAUGAUGGCUUACAGUAAUAAAGCAACUACAAGGGCAGCAUAAACUAAACACUCAAUAGAAAAUUGGAGAACUCGGGAAAAGUUGCAGAUUCCUGAAUUAGGUCCUUCGUUGUUCAACUAUGAUCUCUACUUACUGGGUGAUUUUAUUAUUAUAUACGUUAUUUCUUUUCAGCAGCUCAACUGGGCCAUAACAUUAUGGUUACCUAGCUACCAGGAAUCUUUGCGGCUUGCACUUCUUAUGCACACUUGAUUGCGUGUAUUUAGUGAAAGAUGGUCUUAUCAGAAGCGAUUGGUGUCUUCCUAACAUAAACCAGUCUAGCAGACACAGGCUCAGAAAACAAUUCCACUCUCCAGACCGUUCGCUCUGCUGUUCAUGUGAUAACGCACCCCUUUAUUACCAGGUAACUUUGCUUAAAAGUAAGUUUGGGGGGCACCUCGUUAAUUGGAGAGGAAGAAGGCUAAAUUAAAAAAAAACAAGCCUCACAGAAACACAUUAUAAGAAAAAAAAAUGGGAGCAUUCUGGUAACAGGAAAGAGAAUAAAAGUCUGUGGACAGAAUAGGCAAAGAGAAGAGGGGAAAAAGUAAAUAGCUAAGAUAAUCACAUUUUGAUGUAUUUAGAUGAAAAACAGAAGAAAGGAAGAACGAUGUGUGACUCAUGUCGAAUCUGAAGCCAGUGAUUAGAGGGUGAAGCAGAAUGAUGAAAUAGAGGAAGAGUUCUAUGAAGGGUGCAGAAGCAGAAGAUUGCCCUUUCAAGAACUUUUCGUGACCUUCUCCUAAGAAACUACCACUGGGCCCGGUAAAUGUUCAGAUACGCGUCCGUCUACCCUCUCAAAGGUUGGAAACCUUCAUUGCCAGCAACUGGAGGAUGCUGUCACGAGAAUACAACGAAGCAAACAGAAAGCCUACAAAGACACAGGUGAAGACAACGAAGAAUGUAAUUGUUCAUGUGGAAGGCCAAGAAAAGUUUUGUAAAGAGAGGCUGUGCUUCCUGAAGUGUCUACAGAUGGAUAUGGAAAAAGGAUGGGGAUUGCACUGGGCCAGUGAGCUUUCCAGGAGCCCUGAAAGGAGGUGGACCAUGGAGAAAGUCAGCCUGUGAUUGUCUCAUGUCCGUUGAAAAGUAAAGACCACAAGAUAAUGACGGAUUGUGGGUGAUCCUCUCCCAGGCUUGGAUGCUCAGUCAGGCUAUGGUGUUUGCCAGAAAUCAGUGAUAUUUCAGAACGUUGGAAGGUGACCCCAACCGGAACUCGUGUAUUUUUUGUCACUUCAAAGCACCUAUGGACAGUCCUUUGCUUUUCCAUACAAGACUAAGCUUAGGAAUGUUUUGUGUCAUUCGAGGUCAGGCUGCCUGCAGAUAUAGACCCUUUCCUCUGCUGCCUUAUUGCCAGGUACAUUAAAUACAGUAUAUGACAAGAGUUUAUUAAUACUGUACUGGGGUCAACAUCCAUACAAGUUCAUACAAUGGCCCCCAUACAUAAAAAGGUUGAAAAGAAAGGCAGUAAGAAAAAGGAUAUGAUUACGGUGGAGGUUAAAAAGGAUAUCAGCAAGAAGUAUGAAUGAGGUACGCAAGUGGCCGAAAUUGCAAGAUUUCAUAAAGAGUCUACGUCUGCAUCUCGUCUGCACAUGAGGAGGAGAAAAAGGCAGAAGACACCCUCACUUCAACUGACAUUAGGGAGAUGUGUCAAAUGUGGGAAACGGUGCAAAAUUUUGUAGACAAGCACCACCCGAAUAAAGAUGUAGCAGUGCAAGUGAUGAAUCGGUUUAAUGACAAUGCAGCGUCACAGUUCCGCGAAAUCCUCAAAAGGAGGCAAAGGCAAGUGUCGUUGAAUAGGUUCUUGUUAAAGUUGCAUGACAAGAAAAAAAUUCCCUUGAGCCAAUAGAUAGCAGUGAUUCUACGAGUGAUAAUGAAAAUUGUCCCACACGGUAACCCUCCUCCCUUGUCACGAAGGCUCACACCAGCCACGAAGGUUU
This is a long non-coding RNA of Leopardus geoffroyi (Geoffroy's cat), 2785 nucleotides long. RefSeq lists it as uncharacterized. The record is from RefSeq and is a predicted model, not a curated record. Lineage: Eukaryota; Metazoa; Chordata; Mammalia; Carnivora; Felidae. The transcript is spliced from 3 exons.